RNAcentral lists this ribosomal RNA (389 nucleotides) under uncultured bacterium. RNAcentral describes it as "bacterial SSU rRNA". It matches the Rfam family "Bacterial small subunit ribosomal RNA", at positions 30 to 416 of the family's 1533-position model. The record is from RNAcentral.
AUUGAACGCUGGCGGCAUGCCUUACACAUGCAAGUCGAACGGCAGCACGGGAGCUUGCUCCUGGUGGCGAGUGGCGAACGGGUGAGUAAUACAUCGGAACGUACCCUGAAGUGGGGGAUAACGUAGCGAAAGUUACGCUAAUACCGCAUAUUCUGUGAGCAGGAAAGAGGGGGGAUCGCAAGACCUCUUGCUUUAGGAGCGGCCGAUGUCGGAUUAGCUAGUUGGUGAGGUAAAGGCUCACCAAGGCGACGAUCCGUAGCGGGUCUGAGAGGAUGAUCCGCCACACUGGGACUGAGACACGGCCCAGACUCCUACGGAGGCAGCAGUGGGGAAUUUUGGGACAAUGGGCGCAAGCCUGAUCCAGCCAUGCCGCGUGAGUGAAGAAGGCC